AUGGAAAUAACUUUAUGGUAUUUUUGACUGCUUAACUUUGUAAGUCUUCCAUAUACACAAAUUCACAAGUCAAGAGAAAAAAAAACUUUAGUCUGUCAAAUGCUGUCUUCCGAUUUUGGUGAGGGCAACAUUUUUGCUGGAACUGCCUCUCUGUUGGUUCUCUGAGCUUGUUGACAUAACAUUUAACAUUUACUUAAAAGGGAAAAAGGCACUCAGAAUACAUGGAAAAAUCAAUGAAAGUCCGAGGAAAAACCAUGGUUAAUGUUUAACAUUCAUGUUGGUUAGCGGAGCCUUUUUUAACCCCUCCCCGCCUUCCUCCUUUGGACCUCCCACAUCCAGCCCACCCUCAGCUACAGCCUGGGGAUGCUUCUGAGGAGUGCCCGCCAGAUGGGCUUGCUCAGAAAUCUUCUGUGGCUCUCAGAUGCGUGAAAUCUACUUCCACAGCCUUAGCCUGCGACUCCCGCCUUCCUCAGGCCGGCCCCCACCUGCCUCUUCCUCCGUACUUUCCACUGCAUCCUGUGUCUCUGCUUUCCCCGUUCAGCUCUGCCCACCUCACCUGUGUGAGCCGAGCCUCUGAUCUAGCUGACCCCGGUCUGUUCAUGCGAUCUCCAGUUUUCGUUAAAAGCCCACUCUCUGAAGAGCCCUCCCACAUAUCAGGGGUUGGGCAUAACAAAGAGAAAUUAAUGAAGAAAGAGGAAUCUCUGCCACCAGCCCUGGGAUUUUCUGUCUCUGAUGCCUUAUUUAUUAUUUACGACUACCUCCGCUGUACUGUGAGCACCUACAGGCGUGUCUUGUCCACGUCUUUGUUCGGGACCUCAAGAACCUGGAAAGAAUCAAACCCCAGGGAACCCACCGUCCUAAGUCUGGGUCUUACUCAUCUUGAUCAAGGUAAAGACACUAAAGAGUGCUCUGCACAGACUGAGACUUCAGCAAAUGUUUGUUCAUUUGAAUUUAGUUUGGCAGAAAAAGAAUCAAUUCUUAAAGUUAGUCCACAUCAGGCUAAGUGUGUUAUUGUUUAUCCACAGGCAUUAUUCCCUUCUGAAUGUAGCACUUUUACAAGAAUCCAAAGGUCAUGAUCAACCUUCAGAAAGACAUUUUGUAUUUUACCACCAAAACAGUGGUACAGGCCUUACUAGACUUCUAUAAGCAGGACUUCAUUUCCUGGGAAAUCCUGAAGCAUCUCACUUUAUCUGGAAGGAGAAAGUGAAGGAAAGUAUUUGCCUUUGUGGGUUUUCAUAGCUCCUGAACAUGGCAAAUUGCUUAAUUCGUUUUUUUGUGUUUUUGUUUGUUUGUUUGUUUGUGUUUUAGCUUUGGGUGGCAAUUGAUUUUCUUUUACUGCAUGUAGAGUGCCAUCUUGUGGCCAAGAAGCAUACAGCACUCAUAUUUUCCUGUGCUCUGGGGCUGAUUUUGGGGUUUUGACAAGCUUUUGUAACUGUGCUUCUGUAAUCCCACGUUUUUCCACACUGAGGAUCAAAUACAGGGCCUCCUUCAUUUUAGGCCAGUGCCCUACCACAGAGUGUUCUAUCUCCAGCCCCUAUUAUUCCUCCUUAUUUCUGUAGUCUGGAGAAUCUCCGAGUGAAGAAACGAGAGUUAUUGGGUGAUCAUGUAUACGGUUUACUGCUAAGCCAACUCCAGUUGGCCUUCAUCUCUCGAGGAUAUACUUAUAAGCACUUAUGAUUACUGUGUUGUGUGCGUUUCCCAUCUUCUCUCUUUGCAGUGCCCCGAGAGCUGUCCCCUCUCCCAACACAGUGUUUUGUUUUUGCUUUUGAGAAAGAUCCCAUGUGAAAUUGAGGAAAUGGUAGGAGUCGUCUUUGGGAGGCGUGGGAUUGAGGGAGCUCAAGACCACUUUAGAAAGGCCCAAGCUCAAGUGGGACUUUUAAAGGAGACUUUCUGCUGGAGUCUGUGACAGCUGUAGGUGAGGGGCGGCAGGACACCGGGGUCAGGCCCUAUUGUACAGCUUUGGGGAAAAGGACAGAAUAAUAAACCUCAAAUACAGUGAGAAAAACUUCAGACGAUCCAAGCGACCAGACCACAGAAAGAAACUGAAAGACAGGAUAUUGUGAACUAAUUGCUCCCAAUAUGCACUAAAUCUUCUGUGGUGUUGAUAUCAGAACCCCACAAGCUCUUCUCAG
Molecule: long non-coding RNA, 2132 nt
Organism: Fukomys damarensis (Damara mole-rat)
Lineage: Eukaryota; Metazoa; Chordata; Mammalia; Rodentia; Bathyergidae
Source: Ensembl